RNAcentral lists this long non-coding RNA (893 nucleotides) under Volvox carteri. RNAcentral describes it as "long non-coding RNA (VCAR_LNC002658)". The record is from RNAcentral. Lineage: Eukaryota; Viridiplantae; Chlorophyta; Chlorophyceae; Chlamydomonadales; Volvocaceae.
AUUUUUAGGGGACGGCUUGCAAGUAACAGUUAUCGCAGGACACCGUCAAUAUACGUGGCGGUACUUGAAUGCAGUCUGUAAGAAAUAUCCUUAUUUUGACAUUUUGCCUGCCGCAGGGUCUUUCUUCCAGGAUAUUGGGUUCGCGUCCGUACCGGAGGUGCUUCAGGGCAAUUAAUUAAGGUUGCAUCCCGCCGUAUGAGAUAAUGAUUAACAAUUUUAAUGAAAAUGGCAAUGAUCUGCUCCGGAAGCUAUGUAUUUGAAAGAACUUUCCCUUGUGUAGUGCCAGCAGUCGGUCACCUGACAGUGCAAACGCAAACUUUAUCUACCAAGAUAAAAUUAUAACGGGAUACUUCUUAUGUUCUCAUAUUGGUUCAAUACUCAUAGCGGGGAUGCAAAGCGUUACGCCUACUUCUACCUCCUUUGGGGAUGCGAAAGCAAUUAUUGGUGGGAACUCUUUUGCGACGAAUCAAAGGACAUUUAGUUCUGAUUCUAAGAUAAUAUUGACCUUAACCGAGGCCGCUACAUCCCUGGAUUGCCCUUGCCGUGCAGAAUCUACCUCCGCUCGCUGCACUACGCGUGUUCGCUGACCUGGCGGGCGCCGGUUGAAGCUAGCGAGUAUGACGUGCGUUUGAGUGCAUGAAUCUGUCUACAGCUCAACAGUUAUUCAAUUGGUUCUUUUUGACGAGCAGGAACAGGAUGACGGUUCCUUUCUGCUGUACGGUGCUCACCCGGAAGCCUUCAACUGUUGUCCUCCGGAACGCUUUUCAGCAUUCAUCCAUUCCUCAUUGACCCCUGUUUCCAAGGAGAAGGUAGUCCCGUCACUGCCGUUAUUUUAAGUGUUGCAAAAUGUUGCAAUGCCCGGCUUGCAAGCCGUGGUCUUUGCUCUGGUAAAG